CCUACGGGAGGCAGCAGUGAGGAAUAUUGGUCAAUGGGCGCGAGCCUGAACCAGCCAAGUAGCGUGAAGGAUGACUGUCCUACGGGUUGUAAACUUCUUUUAUCAAGGAAUAAAGUGAGGCACGUGUGCCGUUUUGUAUGUACUUUAUGAAUAAGGAUCGGCUAACUCCGUGCCAGCAGCCGCGGUAAUACGGAGGAUCCGAGCGUUAUCCGGAUUUAUUGGGGUUAAAGGGUGCGUAGGUGGGAUGUUAAGUCAGUUGGGAAAGUGUGGGGCUCAACCGUAAAAGUGCAUUUGAUACUGGCGGUCUUGAGUGCGUGAGAAGUAGGCGGAAUGCGUGGUGUAGCGGUGAAAUGCAUAGAUAUCACGAAGAACUCCGAUUGCGAAGGCAGCUUACUAGACUGCAACUGACGUUGAUGCUCGAAAGUGUGGGUAUCAAACAGGAUUAGAUACCCGAGUAGUC
This 460-nucleotide ribosomal RNA is filed under the name uncultured bacterium. RNAcentral's name for it is "partial 16S ribosomal RNA". It matches the Rfam family "Bacterial small subunit ribosomal RNA", at positions 338 to 795 of the family's 1533-position model. The record is from RNAcentral.